This 240-nucleotide unclassified non-coding RNA is filed under the name soil metagenome. RNAcentral describes it as "partial contains 5.8S ribosomal RNA, internal transcribed spacer 2, and large subunit ribosomal RNA". The record is from RNAcentral.
AACGCACGAGACCUGCGGACCUGCGGAGGGAUCAUUGAUGAGAAGCUGCCCCUCGUGGGUAGACCUCCCACCCUCUGUGAACUUACCUUUGUUGCUUUGGCAGGCCCGUCCUCUGGACCGCCGGCUUCGGCUGGCCCGUGCCUGCCAGAGGAUUCCAAACCCUGUCUGUCAGUGUUGUCUGAGUCUAUAUGAAAUCGUUAAAACUUUCAACAAUGGAUCUCUAGAUCGGAAGAGCACACG